Long non-coding RNA from Lotus japonicus, 2999 nucleotides. RefSeq lists it as uncharacterized. The transcript has 12 exons. Lineage: Eukaryota; Viridiplantae; Streptophyta; Magnoliopsida; Fabales; Fabaceae. The record is from RefSeq and is a predicted model, not a curated record.
UUUCACUGAUGUUUUGGAUUCUCCUUUUCAUUCGUUUUCAUCUUCCAGCGCUUUUAAUCACGUCGCACAUUCUCCCUUUCAUGUCUUUCGUUUCCUUCGAUCGUGUGAGCAGAACCGGAACAGAGCACGAGCGAGGCGAGGUAGAGCGCGAAUGAGGCGAAGCAGAUGAGAUUGAAGGCGGAUUUCAAUCUUCUGGGCUUUGGGGGUUCUUUGCUUCUUGCAGAAAUUGGUGGAAUGAUAUGGGGUUUAGGGUUUCUGCCGCUCUUUCCAUCAUCAGGAUUUGGUCUGGACAGCCUUCCUUCCAAGAUUAAUCUGAACCAGAGCAUGUCAUUUCCGUCAUCAUCGUCCAGGUUUUGCGAAUACUAGGAGACGACAACGUGCGGCCACAAAAGGGCUCCCAUGAAGUCCUCAGCAAGCGCCGACGAUUUCCGGAAUUUUCGUCAAAUUUCGGGAGAGUUGCCCAUGAAAUCGUCGUUGGGGGGUUCUCUAAGGACUAAGUUGUUCGUGAAGCACUAGAGCCAUUGGAUGAAUUGAAGCAAGGGUGACUGAGGAAGUGGUGAAUGAUGGGGAGGGUUUUUUUUUGAAGAAUUUGGGUGAUGAGAAGCCUGCAACCAAGGAAAAAGAGGCAGCAUAUGGAAACAAGGAAAGCCCUGUUAAUGAAAGUGAAGAAAAGGAGCCUGAGGACAAGGAGAUGACACUGGAGGAAUAUGAGAAGGUGCUGGAAGAGAAAAGAAAAGCCCUGCAAGCACUCAAGACUGAAGUGAGAAAGGUGGAUGCAAAGGAGUUUGAAUCCAUGCAGCCACUUUCCCACAAGAAAGACAACGAUGAGAUCUUUGCUAAAUUGGGAUCUGACAAGGAUAAGCGCAGAGAUGCUAUUGAGAAGGAGAAAUCAAAGAAGUGGUUCAAUGAGGGAUGCCUUCUUUUUUAUUACUGCCACUGCAAUUUGGAUGGCAGCAAUUCGGCAGGACGAACGAAGCCCCAUCUGCUGCCCCGUCUCUUUCAUAUCUCACUCUUCACUACAACUUUUCAUUCUAAUUCUUCUUUCUUUUUACAAAUCAUGUUGUGAUCCAACUUAAUUUUGUUUUGGCUACUUUUUUCUAGCAGAAAAGGGGAAGGUAAGCAACACAACAAUGAAAAUGACUCCCUUUCCGAGAAUCGCGACAGGAUCAAUGAGCAAGCUGAUUCUCCACCUCUGGUGGCUUCUCUGUCUUAUAUACCAGCAUGGAUUUAGGGUGAAGAGGAGCACAGCGGUGUAUCCAGCAAGUCGUCCUUUUCCUCCUCUGAUUCUCACCAUCGAUGGAAACCAAGGAGGGCGAGUGAAGCAGCAAGCACCAUUGAACGCCGAGUGGUGAACCCUUUGAAUGAGUGUCACGGUUUCGAUGCUGCUCCUUUUUCCAUGUUCCGCGCUCCUAACCUCGAUUAUGUGGUGCUUUUUUGGUGUUCAACACCGCAGCACAUUGAUUAUGGUGGUGAAUCACCCCCCAUGAGGUCAAUGUUAGUAGGUUUUGGUUGCUCAAAAGUUCCUUCUUAAUGAGAGUGUUUUUUUCUCUGCAAUUUUAGGGUUUGAUCUCUCAAGUUCUGAAAUUAUGUUUUGCUACUGAUGUUGUGGGUCUCUCUUGAGGUCCUAUUUUCAUGUGAGUAUGUCUUCCAUUGUUUGUUUUAUGCCAAAAUAAUUUACUAAACAUAUGACUUUGCCUAUUGUAGCAGAUAAUGUUUGCCUGAAUAUAUCACGCCAUGGUUCAGCAAAAUUUUAUUUUAUUCAAUCUCCAAUACUCAGGACUAGGCUCCUCCACCUUCCUCCUUGCUUGCCAAAUCUGGCGGUGCCAAGAAGAAGGUUUGCGUUUCUCUCUUUUUUUGGUUUCGUUUCUUUUUCUCCCCUUAAUGUAAUAUCUCUUGAUGGGAGUAAUCGGUUGGAUUUGUUUUAUUAUCCAUGAUGGGUGUCAGAGCUCACAUAAAAAAUUUGAUACCAAUAAUUUUCUACAAAGAAUAAAUUUUUGUUACGAUUUAUGCAAUAUGAAAGAUGGGGUGUGUGGUAUAAAGGUCAUAUAUUUGUGCUAACCAUAGGUGGAGCAAGGGAUCGAAAAAGGAUCAAGCCAGCUAUGACAAGCUUCUCAGUGAAGCACCCAAAUACAAACUCCUCACUCCUUCCAUUCUCUCUGAAGUCUGAUUGUUUAAGGAUGUCUCUUUUUCUCCCUGUCUUUUAGUUAGUUCUGAUAUAUAUUAUUCAUGUUGAUGAGGAAUCAUGUGUUGGUGUUGUUUUGGUGAAUAUUCUGUGUUAUGGUUACAUUUGAUCUCAUUUCGUACUUGACGCUGAGACAGGUGGAGUUGUCGGAGUAAGACCAAACAAUGGUGGAUGAAUGUUUAAUGGCAAGAUUUCGCUGGACAAAAAGGUUUGCUUUCUGUUUCUUUGAUUUACAUCUUUGUGUCUUUAGGUAAUGCCAUCUACUUCUAUAUUUAUUUUUCUAUUAUCUCAUUAAAAAAACCUAUUUUUCCUUACUACUGUUUUAUACAUGUUCCGCUCCUCUGCUGCGUGUAAUGAACACAAGUGGAGAUGAUCAGGAAGUGGGGGUCCUGGAGUUUAUCAGGUAAACUUCUUUAUUAACUACUUUAUCCAUCUCUUAUGGUCAAGAAUCUUGGUCCACUGAUUGCGCUCCAAAAACAUGAUUUUCUGACACUUUUGUGAGGAGGCUGGGUUUGUGGAUGUUGCCCAUGUUCCUAAGCUUUCAAUGCCGGAAAUAUUUCAUGGACUGCAGGUACAUCCAACUUCACAAAGUUGUAAAGUGUACCAAGAUAUAGAAAAACUAUAAAUUGUAUCAAGUUUUCAUGUUUUCUCAACUUUCUUUCUUUUGUGGGCUUAGGAUAUCCAAUCACUAAAGCUAUCAGUUGUAGUCAGGUUGAUUAUAUAUUUAGCAGAAUUAUCAUGGUAGCACAUGUAUGUAAUAUUUAGCAGUUUCAUCACGAUUUUUUUCCUUAUAUAUAAAAUUCAUUUUUUCGUUUUA